This 499-nucleotide ribosomal RNA is filed under the name uncultured bacterium. RNAcentral's name for it is "bacterial SSU rRNA". It matches the Rfam family "Bacterial small subunit ribosomal RNA", at positions 791 to 1286 of the family's 1533-position model. The record is from RNAcentral.
UAGUCCACGCAGUAAACUAUGAGUGCUAACUGUUGGGAUCUUUGAUCUCGGUGGUGUAGCUAACGCGUUAAGCACUCCGCCUGGGGAGUACGGCCGCAAGGCUAAAACUCAAAGGAAUUGACGGGGACCCGCACAAGCAGUGGAGCAUGUGGUUUAAUUCGAUAAUACGCGAAGAACCUUACCAGCUCUUGAAUCCUGAUUACGAUUUUUCAGAGAUGAAUUUUUUCAGUUCGGCUGGAUCAGUGACAGGUGUUGCAUGGCUGUCGUCAGCUCGUGUCGUGAGAUGUUAGGUUAAGUCCUUUAACGAGCGCAACCCCUAUCUUUAUUUGCCAUCAGGUUAUGCUGGGAACUAUAAAGGGGACCGCCAAUGACAAAUUGGAGGAAGGUGGGGAUGAUGUCAAGUCAUCAUGGCCCUUAUGGGCUGGGCUACACACAUGCUACAAUGGUGAUUACAACGGGUUGCAAAAGAGCAAUCUUUAGCUAAUCCCUUAAAGAUCAU